Molecule: unclassified non-coding RNA, 742 nt
Filed under: Nilaparvata lugens (brown planthopper)
Lineage: Eukaryota; Metazoa; Arthropoda; Insecta; Hemiptera; Delphacidae
Description: uncharacterized LOC120355557, transcript variant X1
Source: RNAcentral
GACUUAUAUGUUGGUAAGUAUUUCAUUAUUUAGGAUUUGAAUUUUCCUAUUGAAAUAUUAUGUUGCUAUUUAUCCAUGAUAACAAUUAAUGUUUAUUUUUCAAGGUUGUUGGUCAUUAACUUAGUUACAUAGAUAACAAUAGCAUUAGGCUACUACUGCCUAUAUCGUACCUAUAUUUUGAGUUUUCUGUGGAGAACGAAUGGCUCAAGUUAAUGAAGCUAAUGAAAUAUCAAAAACCUACCAAAAAUAAAAAUGCCAUUUAUGUCUGCCUGUCACCACAUAGAAAGCUUUCCGAAAGACACAACUCCUUGGUGAACCUAUUGUACUGCAUCAUAAAAGCGGAAGAAGGAGGUGAAAUCAACUUGCCGACUGUUUAGCUGUGGUAAAAGCUAUCAAAUCCAUGAAUCCAGGAACCUAUUCAAUUCUCAAGAACAUCUCUGUCAUAAUGUGGUCGGACCCGUUCACCAAGGAAGGCACAUAGAAGACUGGCUUAUGAUGGCGAAAGACUUUUGAAGGCGGUUACCUUGAUUGGGAUCAUAUCUAUUAAACCUUCGAAUCCUGCACUCAAAAGUAAAUGUGAUACCAUUCAAAUGGAAUAAGAUUGAUUUGAAUUGGAAUUUGUUAUUCCUGUAUCAUAGUGCAUUUUUCUACUAGUUACCCUACGUAUUGUACAUUAUUGUAAUAAAGCACUAGCUGUUCCAUAGUAGAAGUCUUUGAAAUAAAAGGUUUCUUUUUCAAGUUA